AGUGAACGCUGGCGGUAGGCCUAACACAUGCAAGUCGAACGGCAGCACAGUAAGAGCUUGCUCUUACGGGUGGCGAGUGGCGGACGGGUGAGGAAUACAUCGGAAUCUACUUUUUCGUGGGGGAUAACGUAGGGAAACUUACGCUAAUACCGCAUACGACCUACGGGUGAAAGCAGGGGAUCUUCGGACCUUGCGCGAUUGAAUGAGCCGAUGUCGGAUUAGCUAGUUGGCGGGGUAAAGGCCCACCAAGGCGACGAUCCGUAGCUGGUCUGAGAGGAUGGUCGGCCACACGGGAACUGAGCCACGGUCCAGACUCCUACGGGAGGCAGCAGUGGGGAAUAUUGGACAAUGGGCGCAAGCCUGAUCCAGCCAUACCGCGUGGGUGAAGAAGGCCUUCGGGUUGUAAAGCCCUUUUGUUGGGAAAGAAAAGCAGCAGGUUAAUACCCCGCUGUUCUGACGGUACCCAAAGAAUAAGCACCGGCUAACUUCGUG
RNAcentral lists this ribosomal RNA (492 nucleotides) under uncultured bacterium. Its description in RNAcentral is "partial 16S ribosomal RNA". It matches the Rfam family "Bacterial small subunit ribosomal RNA", at positions 29 to 507 of the family's 1533-position model. The record is from RNAcentral.